This 275-nucleotide ribosomal RNA is filed under the name uncultured Williamsia sp. Its description in RNAcentral is "partial 16S ribosomal RNA". It matches the Rfam family "Bacterial small subunit ribosomal RNA", at positions 338 to 628 of the family's 1533-position model. The record is from RNAcentral. Lineage: Bacteria; Bacillati; Actinomycetota; Actinomycetes; Mycobacteriales; Nocardiaceae.
CCUACGGGGGGCUGCAGUGGGGAAUAUUGCACAAUGGGCGCAAGCCUGAUGCAGCGACGCCGCGUGAGGGAUGACGGCCUUCGGGUUGUAAACCUCUUUCACCAGGGGCGAAUCAAGGACGGUACCUGGAGAAGAAGCACCGGCCAACUACGUGCCAGCAGCCGCGGUAAUACGUAGGGUGCGAGCGUUGUCCGGAAUUACUGGGCGUAAAGAGCUCGUAGGCGGUUUGUCGCGUCGUUCGUGAAAACCCGAUGCUUAACAUCGGGCGUGCGGGC